UUGGGUUAUGGGGAUAUGUACCCACAGACAUGGUCAGGGAUGUUAGUAGGGGCUCUGUGUGCUCUGGCUGGGGUGCUGACGAUAGCCAUGCCUGUGCCUGUCAUUGUCAACAAU
Monodelphis domestica (gray short-tailed opossum) is the source of this 114-nucleotide regulatory RNA element. It matches the Rfam family "Potassium channel RNA editing signal". Rfam says of the family: This family represents a group of sequences related to the human potassium channel Kv1.1 hairpin element which directs the efficient modification of an adenosine to inosine by an adenosine deaminase acting on RNA (ADAR). The ADAR modification causes an isoleucine/valine recoding event which lies in the ion-conducting pore of the potassium channel. The record is from Rfam. NCBI's taxonomy places the organism in Eukaryota, Metazoa, Chordata, Mammalia, Didelphimorphia, Didelphidae.